Non-coding RNA from Corchorus olitorius, 108 nucleotides. The record is from Rfam. NCBI's taxonomy places the organism in Eukaryota, Viridiplantae, Streptophyta, Magnoliopsida, Malvales, Malvaceae.
AUACUGAUGGUGAGGGCAUUGGUUAAGCAAUUCUCUAUAUCUUUCCCAAGCCUCACGUGAUUAUUCACCUUCUUGCUAUUUGAAAUCAUGAAUUUGUCUUCUCAGCUU